RNAcentral lists this ribosomal RNA (379 nucleotides) under uncultured eukaryote. RNAcentral describes it as "partial 18S ribosomal RNA". It matches the Rfam family "Eukaryotic small subunit ribosomal RNA", at positions 592 to 975 of the family's 1831-position model. The record is from RNAcentral.
CAAUAGCGUAUAUUAAAGUUGUUGCAGUUAAAAAGCUCGUAGUUGGAUCUGUGGCGUACGGUGGGCUCCGGGCACUUGUUGUCUGAGUAGCUUGCCGUUGCCAUCCUUGGGUGGAACCUGUGUGGCAUUAGGUUGUCGUGCAGGGGAUGCCCAUCGUUUACUGUGAAAAAAUUAGAGUGUUCAAAGCAGGCUUAUGCCGUUGAAUAUAUUAGCAUGGAAUAAUGAGAUAGGACUUUUUCGCUAUUUUGUUGGUUUGCGCGAAGAGGUAAUGAUUAAUAGGGACAGUUGGGGGUAUUCGUAUUCCAUUGUCAGAGGUGAAAUUCUUGGAUUUUUGGAAGACGAACUACUGCGAAAGCAUUUACCAAGGAUGUUUUCAUUA